Molecule: ribosomal RNA, 837 nt
Filed under: Priestia aryabhattai
Lineage: Bacteria; Bacillati; Bacillota; Bacilli; Caryophanales; Bacillaceae
Description: bacterial SSU rRNA
Rfam family: Bacterial small subunit ribosomal RNA
Source: RNAcentral
ACGCUGGCGGCGUGCAUAAUACAUGCAAGUCGAGCGAACUGAUUAGAAGCUUGCUUCUAUGACGUUAGCGGCGGACGGGUGAGUAACACGUGGGCAACCUGCCUGUAAGACUGGGAUAACUUCGGGAAACCGAAGCUAAUACCGGAUAGGAUCUUCUCCUUCAUGGGAGAUGAUUGAAAGAUGGUUUCGGCUAUCACUUACAGAUGGGCCCGCGGUGCAUUAGCUAGUUGGUGAGGUAACGGCUCACCAAGGCAACGAUGCAUAGCCGACCUGAGAGGGUGAUCGGCCACACUGGGAAUGAGACACGGCCCAGACUCGUACGGGAGGCAGCAGUAGGGAAUCUUCCGCAAUGGACGAAAGUCUGACGGAGCAACGCCGCGUGAGUGAUGAAGGCUUUCGGGUCGUAAAACUCUGUUGUUAGGGAAGAACAAGUACAAGAGUAACUGCUUGUACCUUGACGGUACCUAACCAGAAAGCCACGGCUAAUUACGUGCCAGCAGCCGCGGUAAUACGUAGGUGGCAAGCGUUAUCCGGAAUUAUUGGGCGUAAAGCGCGCGCAGGCGGUUUCUUAAGUCUGAUGUGAAAGCCCACGGCUCAACCGUGGAGGGUCAUUGGAAACUGGGGAACUUGAGUGCAGAAGAGAAAAGCGGAAUUCCACGUGUAGCGGUGAAAUGCGUAGAGAUGUGGAGGAACACCAGUGGCGAAGGCGGCUUUUUGGUCUGUAACUGACGAUGAGGCGCGAAAGCGUGGGGAGCAAACAGGAUUAGAUACCCUGGUAGUCCACGCCGUAAACGAUGAGUGCUAAGUGUUAGAGGGUUUCCGCCCUUUAGUGCUGCA